This 299-nucleotide long non-coding RNA is filed under the name Nicotiana benthamiana. RNAcentral describes it as "long non-coding RNA (NBEN_LNC015144)". Lineage: Eukaryota; Viridiplantae; Streptophyta; Magnoliopsida; Solanales; Solanaceae. The record is from RNAcentral.
AUGUAAGAUCAUUAUUACAGAUGGAACUAUAUACAUGUGAAGGCAAUGGAACAGCCUUGUUAUCAGACAAAAUGUCAUCAUUACAAGAAGCAGAUAAAGGACAAACAGAAGUAGAGGAACAACUAACAGAGGAAGAAAUCAAGUUGUGUUUAAAAGAAGGAACCAGCAGUACAUUGUGAAGGGUGAUGGAAGGAGUCAAUGCAAAAGAGCCUGUACAUGUUACUCUCACUUUAUAGUCAUUAGGAAGAGUGACAAGAUAUGGCAGAGUUAAAGGUGUGAUGUUAAAAAGUAACUGUUUA